UACAGAGGGUGCGAGCGUUAAUCGGAAUUACUGGGCGUAAAGCGUGCGUAGACGGUUAUUUAAGUCGGGUGUGAAAGCCCCGGGCUCAACCUGGGAAUUGCAUUCGAGACUGAAUAGCUAGGGUACGGUAGAGGGAAGUGGAAUUUCCGGUGUAGCGGUGAAAUGCGUAGAUAUCGGAAGGAACAUCAGUGGCGAAGGCGACUUCCUGGACCAGUACCGACGUUCAGGCACGAAAGCGUGGGGAGCAAACAGG
This 253-nucleotide ribosomal RNA is filed under the name uncultured bacterium. Its description in RNAcentral is "partial 16S ribosomal RNA". It matches the Rfam family "Bacterial small subunit ribosomal RNA", at positions 524 to 776 of the family's 1533-position model. The record is from RNAcentral.